AGUAACGCGUGAGGAACCUGCCUUUCAGAGGGGGACAACAGUUGGAAACGACUGCUAAUACCGCAUAACAUAUGUUUGUCGCAUGGCAGAUAUAUCAAAGAUUUAUCGCUGAGAGACGGCCUCGCGUCUGAUUAGCUAGUUGGUAGGGUAACGGCCUACCAAGGCGACGAUCAGUAGCCGGACUGAGAGGUUGGCCGGCCACAUUGGGACUGAGAUACGGCCCAGACUCCUACGGGAGGCAGCAG
RNAcentral lists this ribosomal RNA (245 nucleotides) under uncultured bacterium. RNAcentral's name for it is "partial 16S ribosomal RNA". It matches the Rfam family "Bacterial small subunit ribosomal RNA", at positions 109 to 354 of the family's 1533-position model. The record is from RNAcentral.